RNAcentral lists this ribosomal RNA (253 nucleotides) under uncultured bacterium. RNAcentral's name for it is "partial 16S ribosomal RNA". It matches the Rfam family "Bacterial small subunit ribosomal RNA", at positions 524 to 776 of the family's 1533-position model. The record is from RNAcentral.
UACGUAGGUGGCAAGCGUUGUCCGGAUUUACUGGGCGUAAAGAGCGCGCAGGCGGUCGUUCAAGUCGCGUGUGAAAGCCCCCGGCUCAACUGGGGAGGGUCACGCGAUACUGGGUAGCUAGAGUACGAAAGAGGGUCGCGGAAUUCCCGGUGUAAAGGUGAAAUUCGUAGAUAUCGGGAGGAACACCGGUGGCGAAGGCGGCGACCUGGGUCGAUACUGACGCUGAGGCGCGAAAGCGUGGGGAGCAAACAGG